This 487-nucleotide long non-coding RNA is filed under the name Setaria viridis. RNAcentral describes it as "long non-coding RNA (SVIR_LNC010986)". The record is from RNAcentral. Lineage: Eukaryota; Viridiplantae; Streptophyta; Magnoliopsida; Poales; Poaceae.
CCAUUGUCACCAUAGCUAGGAGGGUUGGAGUGUUGUUAACAAUGAAAGCAUGGUGCUUGGAUUGCCUAGCUUCAUUGGAUAUGAGUUUGCCCCAUGGAUUGCUAGGGGUAGAUGGCAGGUGGUGACAACCUUGUCCGUCCUUUGUAAUCCCCCACGUUCGGGUACGCUGUAGGAGUUCGUAAAUUAGCAGUAACUACGCCAGCAGACUGGUAGGGUACUGUCUCCCCGUGUGUGCAUGGAUGCAUAGGCCUGGUCCCUAUACAAUGUGUAUGUAGGUUAUGCUUGUAUAAUUUGUGCAGUAUAUAGGAAGUACAUAUGAACCUAGAGCUAACUCCUAGUCCUUCUCCCUAGAUUAGUUAUCUUGAGAUGAUUCUUCUGUGUGUGUCAUACUACUCUAUCCAUCAUUAUCUUAUCCCUGUCUUGAGUAUUGUCUCUUUCCAUCUUAUGAUAUAUACUCAUAUGCAUAGUAAAUUCUUUUGACCUACCC